Long non-coding RNA from Anser brachyrhynchus (Pink-footed goose), 1223 nucleotides. The record is from Ensembl. NCBI's taxonomy places the organism in Eukaryota, Metazoa, Chordata, Aves, Anseriformes, Anatidae.
AAUAAAAAAACUUUUGGAGUUGGGGGGGGAAAAAAUGAGUUUCCCUGACCGGGAAUCGAACCCGGGCCGCGGCGGUGAGAGCGCCGAAUCCUAACCACUAGACCACCAGGGAAGGGCUGGUGAGACCCUUCCGGCGCGGCCCCACGCGUGACCCCGUCGCGGGGGGACCCCAGCCCACGGGGGGGGGGGGCGGUUUGUCCCCCCCGUCAGCCGGGACCCCCCCAAAAGCAGCGUGUCCCCACCCCGUUUUCUCGUCGUAACCCACCCGUGCUUUCUGCCCACGCGCGGGUGCAAAGGGCUGGGCGGGGAAACGGGAACAGGAGCAAGUUUUAGCGCCGGAAAAAAUAAAAAAAUAAAAAAAAAGGGGGGGAAAACCGCCCUUUUUUUCCCCAAAUCGCGUGCAGGAGCUCUCGAAAAUUAUUAAGAUCGCAAAGGGAAAAGGUGUGUCAGAAGUGGGAUUUGAACCCACGCCUCCAUUCGGAGACCAGAAAACCCCAGGGAGGGAAAGCAGAGCCUUGAGUCUGGCGCCUUAGACCACUCGGCCAUCCUGACACCUGCGUGAGCCUUCCUCCCCCUCCUCAUCCUCAAGAAUUAACUUUCAAAAAGAGCAAGCGGGUCUGGAGGGGAGGUUUUUUGGGGCUUUUCUUGAGAUUAAGCCGUGUAAAUGCAUAUAUAUUAUAUGUAUUUUAGAUAUAUGUGUGUGUUUUUAUACAUUUCUGUAUUUUCUUUGCCCUAAUUGCGGGUUUUCCUGGCUCAGCUCUUUAUGCAAAUUACGCAUAAUGUCACAGGAGCCCUGUCUCACCCAGCCAACCCCGGGCUGCGGUGUCGAGCCCUCAUUUGCCUAUGCCCACCCCUAAAAAAGCUCUGGGACACCCCUGCAGCGAGGACCACCGAGGCCAAAGGCGACCCCAUGGCGGCGGCCACCAAGAAACGAGGGCAGCCUCCAAGAAAGAGGAGGAGGAGGAAGCAGGAAACCCAGCAGACAAAGCCUCCCCUUAACCAGAGAAGGUCGAGGCGCUGGAAACCAGUUCCCAAGGGAUUCAAUUCCCGGUUGAAGAAGAAAUCCAGCAAGAGGGGCUGGUCUUCUUGCACGAGUUGAAUAACGCCUCUCGCCACGACGCCUUGCCUCUUCUCCCUCGUUUCAAGCCCAGGGAAAAGAAGAAAGAAAAAGAGGGAAGGAGAAGAAGAAAAAAAAAAAUAAAUAAAUUCAGAGCUUUUCCCCA